AUGAACGCUGGCGGCGUGCCUCAUACAUGCAAGUCGAACGCAACUUCUUUAUCCCCGAGUGCUUGCACUCACCGAUAAAGAGUUGAGUGGCGAACGGGUGAGUAACACGUGGGCAACCUGCCCACAAGAGGGGGAUAACACUUGGAAACAGGUGCUAAUACCGCAUAACCAUAGUUACCGCAUGGUAACUAUGUAAAAGGUGGCUAUACUACCGCUUUUGGAUGGGCCCGCGGCGCAUUAGCUAGUUGGUAGGGUAAAGGCUUACCAAGGCAAUGAUGCGUAGCCGAAUUGAGAGGUUGAUCGGCCACAUUGGGACUGAGACACGGCCCAAACUCCUACGGGAGGCAGCAGUAGGGAAUCUUCCACAAUGGGCGAAAGCCUGAUGGAGCAACGCCGCGUGGGUGAAGAAGGUCUUCGGAUCGUAAAACCCUGUUGUUAGAGAAGAAAGUGCGUGAGAGUAACUGUUCACGUUUCGACGGUAUCUAACCAGAAAGCCACGGCUAACUACGUG
Molecule: ribosomal RNA, 511 nt
Filed under: uncultured bacterium
Lineage: Bacteria
Description: partial 16S ribosomal RNA
Rfam family: Bacterial small subunit ribosomal RNA
Source: RNAcentral